RNAcentral lists this ribosomal RNA (253 nucleotides) under uncultured bacterium. RNAcentral's name for it is "partial 16S ribosomal RNA". It matches the Rfam family "Bacterial small subunit ribosomal RNA", at positions 524 to 776 of the family's 1533-position model. The record is from RNAcentral.
UACGUAGGGUGCAAGCGUUGUCCGGAAUUAUUGGGCGUAAAGAGCUCGUAGGCGGUUUGUCGCGUCUGCUGUGAAAACUCGGGGCUUAACCCCGGGCCUGCAGUGGGUACGGGCAGACUAGAGUGCGGUAGGGGAGACUGGAAUUCCUGGUGUAGCGGUGAAAUGCGUAGAUAUCUGGAGGAACACCGGUGGCGAAGGCGGCAUCCUGGACCAACACUGACGCUGAGGAGCGAAAGCCAGGGGAGCAAACGGG